GAAAAAGUGGAUCUUUACCCCGCAGAUAAUAAAGCCCCGGUCUAACUUCUGUGCCCAAGCAGCCGGUGUAAAUACAGAGGGGCGCAAGCGUUAUUCGGAUUUACUGGGGCGUAAAGCGCGGCGAGGGCGGCUAUAUAAGUCAAAGUGAAAAUCCCCGAGCUAACUUGGGAAUUGCAUUCGAUACUGGUUAGCUAGAGUGUGGGAGAGGAUGGUAGAAUUUCCAGGUGUAGCGGUAAAAUGCGUAGAGAUCUGGGAGGAAUCCCGAUGGCGAAGGCAGCCAUUUGGCCUUAACACUGACGCUGAGGUGCGAAAGCAUGGGGACCAAACAGGAUUAGAUACCCUUGUUGUCCAUGCCGUAAACGAUGUCUACUAGCCGUUGGGGCCUUGGGGGGGGGGGGUGGCGCAGCUAACGCGAUAAGUAGACCGCCUGGGGAGUACGGUCGCAAGACUAAAACUCAAAUAAAUUGACGGGGGCCCGCACAAGCGGUGGAGCAUGUGGUUUAAUUCGAUGCAACGCGAAGAACCUUACCUGGCCUUGACAUAGUAAGAACUUUCCAGAGAUGGAUUGGUGCCUUCGGGAACUUACAUACAGGUGCUGCAUGGCUGUCGUCAGCUCGUGUCGUGAGAUGUUGGGUUAAGUCCCGCAACGAGCGCAACCCUUUUCCUUAUUUGCCAGCGAGUAAUGUCGGGAACUUUAAGUAUUUUUGUCAAAAACAAACUGGAGGAAGGCGGGGACGACGUCAAGUCAUCAUGGCCCUUACGGCCAGGGCUACACACGUGCUACAAUAAUCGGUACAAAGGGUUGCUACCUAGCGAUAGGAUGCUAAUCUCAAAAACCCGAUCGUAGUCCGGAUUGAAGUCAUGCAACUCGACUCCAUGAAGUCGAUCGCUAGAAAGCAUAAGGC
RNAcentral lists this ribosomal RNA (905 nucleotides) under Acinetobacter calcoaceticus. Its description in RNAcentral is "bacterial SSU rRNA". It matches the Rfam family "Bacterial small subunit ribosomal RNA", at positions 447 to 1350 of the family's 1533-position model. Lineage: Bacteria; Pseudomonadati; Pseudomonadota; Gammaproteobacteria; Moraxellales; Moraxellaceae. The record is from RNAcentral.